CUUCUCUCGUGCUUUAAUACGGAUACUAGAGCACUAGGGUUUUAUUCAACACAUGCAUAACAAUUACAUAAUUUAGAAAAUUAUAGCCACAAAUUAAUAUUUUAGUGUCAUAGACACAUAUUUUUGUGGCAAUAAUUUUACUUAAUUCUUAAAUGCUUCUUCUUAAGCUUUCUUUAGAGCCAUUGCAAUAGUUCGCACUGCAUCUUGUCAUGCAACUUUCAUACUUUUCCUUAUCUGCAAAAUUAAUCAAAAAGCAUAAUUCUUUAAAGUAAGAUUAAAUAUAUAUUGUAUUAUUAAUUAUGUCACACCCCUUUUUUUCACUCCUAAAAAGAAUUAUUUUAAAGUUUGAAAGGGUUUUUAUUAUUAAGUGACAAAAGAUUGAAAUUUUGUUUUGAAAAAGGAUUAUUUACAUGUUUUAUUCAGAGUCGCCACUUGACAAAUCCGGUGUGCCAAGUCACCUUUGAAAGAUCCUUUUCAAAACGAUUUGACUCUUUAAACUGGUUUGCGAACAGAGAUUCCGGCUAAGGAAUUCUGUUGACCGAGGGGAAGGUGUUAGGCACCCCUCGGUCCCGUGGUUUGACCAUGGUCGCUUGGUUGAGCAUAUCGGCUAAUUUGACACUACGAAUGUAUAAACCACACAAAAUCACACAAAACAAUCAAUCAAAUAAACAAAACAAAACAAAUCCAAAAUAUAGUGUCCAAUCCAAUUAUACAGUCCAAAAUAACAAAAUUGCGAAAAAUAUAAAUCCUAGUCUAACCUAUACUAAUCCUAAACUGUGUUUCCAUGCUCUACCCGAUGCCUCGGGACUUGAUCACGAACAACCUUCGAGUACAAAAUACUUCGGGGCAUUCCCCGGCGAAUAAACACAAAUACUCCGGGGCAUUCCCUGGCCAAAUGAUACACUUGAUCCAAAAAAAAAAAAUCCAUUCAACACAUAUUUCAAGCAUUCAAUAUUCCAAGAGUCCUAAAUUUGCCUACCCGACCUACUUUGCCAAUCAAUUCUCGGCCUAAACAUUGUAUUAUCGAAGUUAUCCAAAAUCGAUAUCUAUUCCAAUUAAGAUUCAACAAUCAUGAAUCAAAAUGCAACAAUAUUUACUUUAUCAAUUUUUCGAUCUCUUUCCCCAAAAUCCAACUUAACCCCAAAUCAAACUACGUGAUUAACAUACUUUGCAACAAGAUGGACAAUUAAAUAAUGAGUGAAAUUGCUCCAAUCAGAAUCAACCAAAAUCACACUAUUCAAAAAUAUUCACAAAAAAUAGGAACAAAAGAUGAAGAAUCGACCUCAAUUGAUGACUUUAUUUCGACAACUUGCGAUGGAUCGGAGCUCGCAAAUGGGACCUCAUCGAAACCUCAAAUAGAAAUGGAUCACAAUGGAAAGCAGUCAAAUUUGCUAGUUUUCCCUCAUUCAAACCACUCAUUGUUCUCGAUCUUUUCAUCGAUUUCAGCUCCUCCGGCCAGCACUCUCUCUCGAUUCGUUUUCUUCCUCACGCAGAUCUCUCUCUACCUCUCUUGAAUCUUUUCUCUCUCUUGGUUGCUCUCCACGUUUCUCUCUCUAUCUCUAUGAUUUCUGUGUGUAUGUGUGUGUGCGAUUUAAGGUGUGUCUGUGCGUGUGUUGCGGAAAGAAGAAAAGAAGAGAGCCAAAAUGGCAUCUCUUUAAAGAUGAUGAUAAUCUUUC
This 1676-nucleotide long non-coding RNA is filed under the name Capsicum annuum. RNAcentral describes it as "long non-coding RNA (CANN_LNC015112)". The record is from RNAcentral. Lineage: Eukaryota; Viridiplantae; Streptophyta; Magnoliopsida; Solanales; Solanaceae.